This is a long non-coding RNA of Gopherus flavomarginatus (Mexican gopher tortoise), 1973 nucleotides long. RefSeq lists it as uncharacterized. The transcript has 2 exons. Lineage: Eukaryota; Metazoa; Chordata; Testudines; Testudinidae. The record is from RefSeq and is a predicted model, not a curated record.
CCAAGUGUUGGUGUCACUAAGCAUAACCCUACGUAACUCAGGAGGGUGGAAGGCCACAAGAGUAUGGAGCCUUCCUGGUUUUAGGCCUCAGCAGACAAGAGUCCCUCCAUGUUUGAACUUUAAUCGACCUAAAAGGCCAGGUGUAGCAGCCGUUAUCAGUUGCAACAGUUCUAACUGGUCUAAAGCAGAAAUAAUGAGGCCUGUGCAUCUUUAGCAGAAGGACAAGAUAACUUGCAGAAGGAAAACUUACUAACGAGCUGCCGCGGCCAAGAUUACUUAAUGCACCUGCGCUUACGUAAUUGCUACAGGGGGAGGAAGGAGGAGGAGGGAGGGGAAACGGGGGAUUGCUAGUCAGUGAGAAAAGUUCUCAUGGAUAUAAAGGAACAGACUGCUUGUUUUAGGUGUGCUUGAUCUGAGUCAAUCUCCCUGCACCGCUUUGAGAUCUCAAAUAAACUUGGUUUGCUUCUCCACCCUGGUGUGUUUAUUGGCGCGGCACACCAGGCGACGGACCCCCCCGCUGUUGCUUGGCCUCAGGCAGUUAUCUGCCGGCAACAGUUCUUGGCGCCCAACGUGGGGCAUUGAGGCUAAAAUUAGCCUUGCCUGGAUCCCUUCUGGUGGUCGACGGAUUGCGGCGACGACCGACGCCCAGCGCGCACCGGUGACUUCACCGGGGGCCUCGGCGGAGACGCAGUUCGACUGACCCCAGAGGGCACAACGGUGCAACGCGCUCGAGUAGUGGAGAAGCAGUUGAGGGCGACGGUGAGGAACCGGUCCCUUGGAUAAGCUUAACUGUCCAGUAAGAUCCAACAGUGUGCCUUUGUGACCCCGGAGCCGGUGUGGCUUGGUGACACUGAAGAAGCCGCAGGCAGCUGACCUGGACUGGAAUCUCUGAAAGAGAUGCUGCAGAAGAUUCCAGGGUGCAAGAGAACAGCCCUCCAAAGAGCGGAAGCAUGUUAGAAAUUCUGGACAAGCUGUAUACAGGAUAAUCUCCAGUUCACCUCUCCCCCCUUCUCUGAACAUUAUACACAGAAGUGGCCAGUCUGGACGUACGUGUGUGGGUAUGAAAGGGGCUUGGGGCAUUAAUGUUUUCCUGAGUGAUGAGGGAGCGUUCCCAACACUCUCCGUUGUUGUUUUAUUAUUUUAUUAAUGGAGCUUUAAAAUACAGUUAUAUGGUGUGUUUUCUUUAUCUUCCCCCAACGAUCCUGUAGUGUCAGCCUGAUCACCUGACACGAGGGAUAGAUUGGUAACAGAAAUUUGUCACAGUUUGGUGAGCAAUUAAGAAGGGGGGAGCCCUGCAGAAUUUACACCAUCUAUUUGUUUUACCCUUGUUAUUUUGUGUUUGCUUUGCUUGGUACUGUUGGUGUUAUAUGUUGAGAACUGCAUGAGUAAAAGUGAGUCCUAAUAGGAUAAGAAAACGCUAUCUGGUUCUGGUUCUGUUCUGUUUAACCGGUUACUGUUGUUUUUCUGCUCUGUUCAUUUGGGCGUUAGGAGUGUGGGCAGAACUGAACCUCUUGUUCGUAAUUCCUCGGAGUGGAAGCCAUGUGUGCGAGAAAGUUCUGAGGUUGAAUUGAGAUCCUUCUGUCCUGUCCCCUGUAGCGGUCAGUGUAUAGAAGUGGGAAAGUCUGGCUUAGACUGUAAUUCCCUCUGCUCUCUGUGUAAUUCUCUUUUCUGUUUAAGUGUCAAACAGAUGAAUGAGUCUCUGGGUAAACCCUCUAAGAAUAGUCCUUUAAAUUAUAUGUUAAGUAAAUGGCCUUUGCCCAAUGGGCCAUGUGUUUUUGUCCAGGUGGCAAGCCUCAUGAAGGAGGACUCGGGUAGUCUUGUGAGUAAGAAUGUUUAAGGGAAGAGACCAGGAGGGGUGGGGGCUAGAUGAGAAGCCCACCCUCCUAGCUAAACUGGUAGUGGAACAAGUUGGUGCCCAUGGAAGGGACGGUUCAGCAAGAAAAGCAGGAUCGGGCCCAGGCGGGCAGGCAACA